This is a long non-coding RNA of Asparagus officinalis (garden asparagus), 2335 nucleotides long. RefSeq lists it as uncharacterized. The record is from RefSeq and is a predicted model, not a curated record. The transcript is spliced from 2 exons. NCBI's taxonomy places the organism in Eukaryota, Viridiplantae, Streptophyta, Magnoliopsida, Asparagales, Asparagaceae.
CUUUUGCUCUUGCAACUUCUCCUUGAGAUACUUGCUCCAAGAUGAAGAACAAAUUAGUGCUUUGCCAAAUCUAAGGUGAACCUUGGGAUGUCCAUUUAUAACUAUAUAAAGGCAUCCCAGUUCCCAUGUAAUAGUUCAAUCAAUAUCCCUUAGAUAUCUGUCUUUUGUUGUGGUCUUGGUUUACUUUUUAUCCCUUAGAUCUAUAUAAAUUAGUCUCCCUACUAAGAGCUCAUCCAUUUCUUUAGUUUUCAUUUUUGAAAUAGACCAAUUUACAAAUUUAAUUAUCAAAAUUGACCAAGAUAUUUAUUUAUCAAAAUCGACCAACUUUCAGCUACUUCAGCAAUGCACGUUGAAAGUUGGUCGAUUUAUAAAAAAAACACAUUUCAAAAAACUAUGGGAUUGCACCUCCUAUAUGAUUAGUGGCUUACAUUAAUCAUGGGAGUAGCAAACGUCUAAGCGAUUGCCAAUCCCCUAGAACUUAAUACAUGUAAAUUGUCUAUGAGAUGAUAAUCCUGUAAAUAUCUUUGACAGAACACACUAUAGAAACUUGCUCUUGGUUUUUUUUGUCAUAGUGUCUACGAGAUUGUUAAUCCCGUAGAGGUUAAAACAUUUUUUAGCUCGAAGGCAUAGGCUACCCCUUAGAGCUCUAGGGCAAAAUCAUGACUUUAUUAAUCUGACGCUACUAAAUUUUAUGGGAUUGGCAAUCUCGUAAGACUAGUGUAGCUCACAAUUUUAAAGGGCCGUUCACAUAUCUAGAUCAAGACUAUGUUUUCAGCCUCCGUGUUUUAGUUGUGUCUCAGUAUUCUAGCUUUUACAAGUUUGUCGUGUCAUGUACCCACCCCUGUACGGAUACUGCACUCGAAUUUAGGCAUGCACUUAUUGAGAUGUGGAGUCAAUUAUACAAUAGAUUUUUUUAAUUUUAAAAAAUUAACAUACACUUUUUUGGACAAGGAUCGGGUUCAAUUCAGUACAUAUUUGGGCAUCUUAGUCGUGUCCCAGUAUCCCAUCUUUUACAAGUUUAUCAUAUCUUGUACUCGCCUAUGUACCAAUUCCCAUACUCGUAUCCAUGCAACUUAGGUUGUUGCUCUAGUGCUGAAAUUGUGAAAGAAUUGAUAAAAAACCCAAUCUUAAUCCUCUUCUCAUGAUGAAAACAUAAGAUUAAUUUGUUGUUGAUUUGCAAGAGUUUCCGCCAAAGUUAUGUCAUUUUCUUUUGGUUCCACUAUCCAAUUGCCAUGGAUGCUUAGCUGGGCCCCUUGACAUGUAGGGAUUAAAGUUGAGUUUUUUCUUCAGCUGGAGAAGAGAAAUGGGAAAGAAGGGAGAAAACAAUGUGUUAAAUCUUAAAUGGGUGUUAGUGGAGCUCACAUUGAGUUUUUUUUUAUUUAAGAAUGUAGUUAGGAAAUAAUUUACUAAUAAGGAUAUUCUAGUCAUUCUAGAAAAAUUUAAUAGACCUAAAGGAAUGUAUUGUGUCCAUUCUCUAACAGCGUAUGUGAGGAUUAAUUUUUCCAAUGUUGAUGAACUGGAGGGUAAAUUUACAAAUAGCAAGAUUUGAGGCAAUUUUGCAAAUAUGGAUGAUUUGGGGGUAUAUAUGCAAAAACCCUUCAAAUUUUCUGAAACUAAAAUGUAAAACAUAAAUUAAAUAAUCAACCAAAUUGAAUACAUGUCUAGUUGAUAUACUAUAAAUAUUUGUUUAGUGUUAAAUGAACAAUUAAAUCAAAUAUAAACAAAUAUUUAGAUGAAUAAUUAGCAAAUCAUUUGUUAAUUAUCUAAUUCAUUUCCACCCAUAUUAGGGGAUGAUUUGUUUCACCUGGUCCCUGCUAGACCUUCAUAUACAAAUUGAAGCAAAAAGGAAGCACCUCCUGGCAAGAAACCUGAGCCGGUGAGAACUCACCUCCAAAAUAUGAUCAUAGUGCCUCGGAUGGCUGGGAGUACCAUUGGGGUGUACAACGCCAAGACCUUCAACCAGGUAGAUAUGAAGCCCGAGAUAGAAGCAGAUAUUCAAUUUACUUUUGUUUGUUUCAGAUGUUCUUCUUAAUGAGAAGUUUCAAUGUGGAUAUUGCAGUUUUAUUUUAUUUUUAAUGUUCUUUUAAGACAAUAGACAUAUACCUUGAUUUUUCUGUAAGAUGUUUAUGGAAAAGUGAAGACAAAACGAGAAAAGUAGAAUGACAAUCUUGAGGAAGGCCAUGCUUUUUGAGAGAGAGAGAGAGAGAGAGAGAGAGAGAGAGAGAGAGAGAGUCAUGGAGGGUGUUUGGCCGGUUUACCAAUUGGCAUAACCUGUUAAAAGUACAUCAGUAGUAUAACUGUUUUCCUGAAAUUGAGAUUUAGUGUUGGAUUGUAA